GGAGCAUCAGAAGCUGAACCACUUCCCCGGCUCCUUCCAAAUUGGGAGGAAGGACCGUCUGUGGAGGAACCUCUCUAAGAUGCGAGCUCGCUUCGGGAAGCAGGAGUUCAGCUUCUUCCCUCGCUCCUUCAUCCUGCCGCAGGACAUCAGGCUGCUGCGGAGGGCCUGGGAGGAUGCAGGGGCGCGGCAGAAGUGGAUCAUCAAACCUCCUGCCUCUGCCAGGGGAACAGGUAUCCAGGUCAUCUAUAAGUGGUGUCAGAUGCCAAAGAAGAGGCCCCUACUGGUCCAGAAGUCAGUAUGACCGACAACAUGACUAUCAGCACUAUAGAA
Molecule: long non-coding RNA, 330 nt
Organism: Gadus chalcogrammus (walleye pollock)
Lineage: Eukaryota; Metazoa; Chordata; Actinopteri; Gadiformes; Gadidae
Exons: 3
Source: RefSeq, a predicted model, not a curated record